This 497-nucleotide ribosomal RNA is filed under the name uncultured bacterium. RNAcentral's name for it is "partial 16S ribosomal RNA". It matches the Rfam family "Bacterial small subunit ribosomal RNA", at positions 28 to 507 of the family's 1533-position model. The record is from RNAcentral.
GAUGAACGCUGGCGGCGUGCCUAAUACAUGCAAGUCGAGCGAACGGACGAGAAGCUUGCUUCUCUGAUGUUAGCGGCGGACGGGUGAGUAACACGUGGAUAACCUACCUAUAAGACUGGGAUAACUUCGGGAAACCGGAGCUAAUACCGGAUGAUAUUUUGAACCGAAUGGUUCAAAAGUGAAAGACGGUCUUGCUGUCACUAAUAGAUGGAUCCGCGCUGCAUUAGCUAGUUGGUAAGGUAACGGCUUACCAAGGCAACGAUGCAUAGCCGACCUGAGAGGGUGAUCGGCCACACUGGAACUGAGACACGGUCCAGACUCCUACGGGAGGCAGCAGUAGGGAAUCUUCCGCGAUGGGCGAAAGCCUGACGGAGCAACGCCGCGUGAGUGAUGAAGGUCUUCGGAUCGUAAAACUCUGUUAUUAGGGAAGAACAUAUGUGUAAGUAACUGUGCACAUCUUGACGGUACCUAAUCAGAAAGCCACGGCUAACUACGUG